ACCAGCGAAAAAAGACCUACGAAAAAAGAACUACGAAAGAAAAAACAACGACAAAAAAUCAGGCGACUCGCACGAGCGAGGCCUCUAGAUCCCGUCACCACCGCCCGACGCCGCCAGCCCCGUCCUCCUCCCUGGCUCCCGGCGCCGCCCGCCCCCAUCUCCUGUUGCGAUCCUGGCGUCGCCCCGCCCCACCUUCUCCCUCACUCCCAGCGCUAACUAUCGAUCCCCUCAACGACACAGAGCCGCCGUCCUCUCAUGCGAUCUCACUGCCGCCACCCUCCGAUCCGCUCCUCCUCUCCCGAGGAUACGCAGCCGCAUCCGCCGAUGCCGAUCCGGGUAGGCGCGGCCGUCGUGGAUCACGAGGAUCCGGAUGAUGGGGUGGCAGAGAUGGCCACGGAUCUGUUACGGCGACGACGGCGCCUGAUCCGCACCCGCAGCAUCCGGAUGGAGGCCGGCGACAAACCCUAGCCUAGACGUCAGCAUCGGGAUCCAACCCCUGCUCUCGGUGCUGGGGCUAGGCAUACGGGGGUGCUUGCUGCCGCGGUGGACCUCGACGCCGGCGACAUCUGCAUCAUCUCCCUCCCGUCGGGCUGCAGGACCUAUAUGCCCAAGCGGUAGUGAUGGAUCUAGUAUGAGGAUAAACUGGCGAAUAAUCCAGCGGUCGGAUGAGGAUAAAUGUGCGGCUACAAACUCUGGUCCUCGCCGGCGUCGUGGUCGGAGGCCACGUUGGAGGCCACGUUGACCCUACCUCUGCAUCUAGCGGUGCCGGGUUCUUCCCGUUGCUGCACCACCUCGCGGCCGAGGGAGACCAGGCGCUGGCGUGACCCCACUCCCGCUGCUGUUUUGUCUCUUCAGAUAAUCCAUAUCAGCCCGACACGAAGGAUGAGCAUGUGAGGAUUAAGGAUGCAGGAGGCAAGGUCAUCCGAUGUAAUGGUUACCAAGUGUAUGAAAUACUUGUCAAAUGUGGCUCAGUGAUAGAAUUAAGAAUGAAGGAGGAAGAUACCAGCACAAUCCCCAGCAAUAAAGACUGCGGCAAGGGCGACGACAGUGUGUCUCGGCGAGCGUGAGCAAUGGCAGCAUCAUCUCCGACUCCGAGUACCUGACCAAGACGCUGUCCAGGUCACACGUCGAGGACUUCCUCCUGGACGAUGCCGCCUCCUUGGUUGUUGUUGUCGUCUCCUCAAAUAAGUCGUAUCAGCGCAUUUAGGCUCUGGUCAACAAGUGGACGGACAGGUUGUCCAUUCUUGUUGUUCUUGCGUGUCAAGAUUCUUGGCUGCAGACUUGCAGUUCUGCAGAUACACCAUGAUUGCAGCAGGUGUUGGAAGAAAUCAUCCGAUGGUCGUAACUGACGAAGGAAGUGCUUUGUAUACGGACAAGCUGGGGACGAGUUCACUAAGGAGUGGGACUAAGGUGUCACCACUCCCCUGCCUUGUUACUAAAGCAACUAAUGUUGUUUGUGGUGCUGACUUCACUAUCUAACUUUCAUCGGUUGAGGGAUCUUCCGUACUGUAUGGCCUUCCUGAAACUAUGAAACUUAAAGAUUAGCACGCUCUUUUUUCUUUCAGAUAAAGCAAAAGGCUUUGAUCAUCUUCUCAUGAUAAAAUGUUUAGAUAAUUAUCUGCUUUGGUUGUUAUUAGUGGGGUUUUCCUACGUCAUUUCUUUGAAGAUGUAUUUAGUUCUUCUGUGCUAUUCAGUACAUCAGGACUUCCUCGGUAUGGCUAACUUGGUCAUGGAAGCGAUAAUCAGGUUGGUUGCUACAAUGUUAACACACGACACCUACUAAAUUUGCAACACUAGAGGCGGGGACUCCUAGACCUAUGCUAAUUGACUUAAUUAAUUAUUAUUAUUGUUCGUUAGGCGUCCAAACAGGCAGCUGAGCGUUGGACAUGGCCUUAUGCCUCCGAAUAAUAUGUUCAUACACCAUAAGUUCUUUGCAAUAUUCAUACACCCAAUUCAGUACUAUUUUCCAUAUUUUAACUUUACGUACAGUUUUUAUUAUCUGCUGUUAAUUAUAAGUACCAAUCAAAACUGUUAAUUAUAAGGCCAUAGCAUAGCCCUAUAUUUAUUGUGUUCAGUGACCUUUUUUAUGAAAAUCAUUGCUACGAGUCACCAUUUCAUAAUUGGUGUUCAUAUCCUAAUCCUUUUGUAUUUGCAAGAUCACUCCUUAAUGUUAAGAGGGGAGGGAUGAUUUUAAGGAUAUUUUUGUAAAAGGAGGACAUUGACAAAAACAUUGAAUACAAGGAGCUUGCAACCAUGAUGGAAUGAAUCUUUGCGUGGUAGCCUGCUUGCCGCCAAGAUAGUUAGCCCCUGAGCUCCUGAAGAAAGGACAGUUGAAGGAAAUGAAAGAAGCGAACACAAAGGAUCCUACACCAAAGGAUGAAGAGGUCGAGGAAGUGAUGGAAGGGGGUGCGUGGAGGAAGACAGGUGCAUGGUGGAAGCUGGCGUGAUGGCUGCGAAGGUCAAAGGAGAGAAGGCUAGCACUGGACUUAUUUUGGAGUCUCUUGAUAGGCACAUCGCACAUCAACCUUGGGUGAUUUAAGUUGGAAGAAUCCAAUCAAGACUUGACAUGGAGUGACAAUGCCCUCCUAUCAAGGGGACAUCAAAUACCGAGGGAAAAUCUCUCUCAAAUAAUAGAAUAUAGUUGUUUUGUUCCAGUACAACUUUCUUUCGUUUUCAUCCUUGCUUCGAUGUAGAUAGUAUGAGGACAGAGAUUACAAGACACCUGACAAUAAAUUAUUUAUUAGAUUUGGAAACAUAAUCUGAGAAGUAAGGGCAUCUAAAGUGCUUCCCCUAAAAUUUAACUCCUCAAAAGGCCCUCCAAAUUCU
Long non-coding RNA from Triticum dicoccoides, 2826 nucleotides. RefSeq lists it as uncharacterized. The transcript has 10 exons. Lineage: Eukaryota; Viridiplantae; Streptophyta; Magnoliopsida; Poales; Poaceae. The record is from RefSeq and is a predicted model, not a curated record.